UGGGGAAUAUUGCACAAUGGGCGCAAGCCUGAUGCAGCCAUGCCGCGUGUAUGAAGAAGGCCUUCGGGUUGUAAAGUACUUUCAGCGGGGAGGAAGGGAGUAAAGUUAAUACCUUUGCUCAUUGACGUUACCCGCAGAAGAAGCACCGGCUAACUCCGUGCCAGCAGCCGCGGUAAUACGGAGGGUGCAAGCGUUAAUCGGAAUUACUGGGCGUAAAGCGCACGCAGGCGGUUUGUUAAGUCAGAUGUGAAAUCCCCGGGCUCAACCUGGGAACUGCAUUCGAAACUGGCAGGCUAGAGUCUUGUAGAGGGGGGUAGAAUUCCAGGUGUAGCGAUGAAAUGCGUAGAGAUCUGGAGGAAUACCGGUGGCGAAGGCGGCCCCCUGGACAAAGACUGACGCUCAGGUGCGAAAGCGUGGGGAGCAAACAGG
Molecule: ribosomal RNA, 429 nt
Filed under: Chloroflexota bacterium
Lineage: Bacteria; Bacillati; Chloroflexota
Description: Chloroflexi bacterium partial 16S ribosomal RNA
Rfam family: Bacterial small subunit ribosomal RNA
Source: RNAcentral